Molecule: long non-coding RNA, 454 nt
Filed under: Prunus persica (peach)
Lineage: Eukaryota; Viridiplantae; Streptophyta; Magnoliopsida; Rosales; Rosaceae
Description: long non-coding RNA (PPER_LNC002490)
Source: RNAcentral
UUUAACGUAAAUCUUACGUUAAUGGCAAAAGGUCGUAAUUCUAAAGCUUAAAUUAUAAUCAACUCGCUCUGGAGGAGAGUGCAUCCCACACUCAGCCAAAAGUGGGUUUGGCAUGAUAUUCAUGUUCAUUUUUUGCUUUUUGGCUAACCGCACGAUAUUCAUGUUCCAUGGUGAGCUUUUUAAUAAUCCGCAAUUAAUUUAUUUUUUUCUUUUUAACUAAAUAGUACCUUUUUUUUCUUUCAGUUUUUCUAUUUCAUUUUUAGAAGAAAUAAUAUUUUAUUAAAGACAAUUAAGUCGAUUCUAAAAUAUGACAUUCGACACUUCUCUGUAUAAAGCCAAAUGUACUAACCAAAGUGUAACUGUAUUGCAGUGUGAAAAAUAUGGGCGAAACCAUCCCUGAAGACCUCUUGCAACCGAUGUAUGACUAACAUACAUAUUAUCUUUUUAACUUUCC